AAUGAGAUUAUAAAUGGGAAGGCAGCUGUAAUUGGGUUCUUGCUGUUGUUGGAUUUUGAGCUAUUGACUAGUAAAGGACUUGGCAUUUGGUUUAUCACUUUCAGCACUGCUUGGGGAUAAUAUCUACAACUUUGGCGAGCUGCUGGCACAUCCUAUUGUAAGAAUAUCUCUGCCCUACUACUCUGUGUGUGUGUGUGUUUUUUCCCUUCUUUCUACUCAACUUGCCUUAGUUGCUCUACUUUUUUUUUUCCCAUUUUACAUCUUGCUAUACCCUGCUGUUUCAUCAAGUUUUGGAGUUAUUACAAAUUUAAUUUAAACUUUAUAUGCUUACAGGUGGAAACUAGCUUAAGUCUUAUGUUCUUAAUAAUAAAAUGACUUUUUUUUUUACAAUGUGUAGGUAUAUUGAGAUGAUUUCUUUGGAGCAAUUCUUGACAACAUUUGUAGUUGAGGCCUUUAGAAUGGAAGAAUGUAUUUCACUAAUUUUUGUAUACAUUUCUUGUUUUGUAUUUGGUGAUAAAGGAAUCUGAAUUGGGCAUAAAUUAUGUUGUAAUAUGAUUUCUUAAGCCUAGACUAGUAGACUAAAUAUUGUAAUUACAUUUGAGUAAUUAAUAAAAAUCUAUUUAUGCUA
Humulus lupulus (European hop) is the source of this 628-nucleotide long non-coding RNA. RefSeq lists it as uncharacterized. The record is from RefSeq and is a predicted model, not a curated record. The transcript is spliced from 2 exons. NCBI's taxonomy places the organism in Eukaryota, Viridiplantae, Streptophyta, Magnoliopsida, Rosales, Cannabaceae.